RNAcentral lists this ribosomal RNA (469 nucleotides) under uncultured bacterium. Its description in RNAcentral is "bacterial SSU rRNA". It matches the Rfam family "Bacterial small subunit ribosomal RNA", at positions 335 to 802 of the family's 1533-position model. The record is from RNAcentral.
ACUCCUACGGGAGGCAGCAGUAAGGAAUAUUGGACAAUGGGCGAAAGCCUGAUCCAGCCAUCCCGCGUGCAGGAUGACGGCCCUAUGGGUUGUAAACUGUCUUUUGUUUGAGAAGAAACGCCUGGAUUUAUCCGGGCCUGACGGUAUCUUACGAAUAAGCACCGGCUAACUCCGUGCCAGCAGCCGCGGUAAUACGGAGGGUGCAAGCGUUAUCCGGAAUCACUGGGUUUAAAGGGUGAGCAGGCGGAUAAAUAAGUCAGAGGUGAAAUCUUGCAGCUUAACUGUAAAACUGCCUUUGAUACUGUUUAUCUUGAAUUAGGUUGAGGUCAGCGGAAUGUGACAUGUAGCGGUGAAAUGCGGAGAUAUGUCAUAGAACACCAAUUGCGAAGGCAGCUGACUGGGCCUUAAUUGACGCUGAGUCACGAAAGCGUGGGAGCGAACAGGAUUAGAUACCCCUGGUAGACUGUCA